This 296-nucleotide ribosomal RNA is filed under the name uncultured bacterium. Its description in RNAcentral is "partial 16S ribosomal RNA". It matches the Rfam family "Bacterial small subunit ribosomal RNA", at positions 30 to 327 of the family's 1533-position model. The record is from RNAcentral.
AUUGAACGCUGGCGGCAUGCCUUACACAUGCAAGUCGAACGGCAGCACGGGAGCAAUCCUGGUGGCGAGUGGCGAACGGGUGAGUAAUAUAUCGGAACGUGCCCAGUCGUGGGGAUAACGUAGCGAAAGCUACGCUAAUACCGCAUACGAUCUAUGGAUGAAAGCGGGGGAUCGCAAGACCUCGCGCGAUUGGAGCGGCCGAUAUCAGAUUAGGUAGUUGGUGAGGUAAAGGCUCACCAAGCCGACGAUCUGUAGCUGGUCUGAGAGGACGACCAGCCACACUGGGACUGAGACAC